AAUCAAACUUGGAGAUAGCUGGUUCUCCCCGAAAUAUAUUUAGGUAUAGCCUCGCGUUUAUACCACCGGAGGUAGAGCACUGAAUGGGCUAGGGGGGCGCGAGCCUUACCAAACCUAACCAAACUCCGAAUACCGAUGAGUAAUAUCUGGCAGACACACUACGGGUGCUAAGGUCCGUAGUGGAAAGGGAAACAGCCCUGACCGCCAGCUAAGGUCCCUAAGUUAUCACUAAGUGGGAAACGAUGUGGGAAUGCUUAGACAACCAGGAGGUUGGCUUAGAAGCAGCCAUCCUU
This 293-nucleotide ribosomal RNA is filed under the name Schmidingerella taraikaensis. RNAcentral describes it as "partial Bacterial large subunit ribosomal RNA". It matches the Rfam family "Bacterial large subunit ribosomal RNA", at positions 831 to 1123 of the family's 2925-position model. Lineage: Eukaryota; Ciliophora; Spirotrichea; Tintinnida; Rhabdonellidae. The record is from RNAcentral.